UUUCCGUAGGUGAACCUGCGGAAGGAUCAUUACUGAGUGAGGGCCCUCUGGGCCCAACCUCCCACCCGUGUUUAUUAUACCUUGUUGCUUCGGUGAGCCCGCCUCACGGCCGCCGGGGGGCAUCUGCCCCCGGGCCCGCGCCCACCGAAGACACCUAGAACUCUGUAUGAAGAUUGCAGUCUGAGCAAAAACUAAAUAAGUUAAAACUUUCAACAACGGAUCUCUUGGUUCCG
RNAcentral lists this unclassified non-coding RNA (233 nucleotides) under plant metagenome. Its description in RNAcentral is "partial contains small subunit ribosomal RNA, internal transcribed spacer 1, and 5.8S ribosomal RNA". The record is from RNAcentral.